CAUAAGGAAAAUAAAUUCUUAAGAACUGCAAAAAUUAAAAAUGUAAUAGGCAGCAAAUAGCUUGUAAUGGGACUAAUACUGACCCUUGGCAAUUCAGCUAAGCUGUCACAUGGCCUUCCUAAGAUUUAUAUGCAGGAUCUUUUUUUCUGCUUUUUUUUACAAUAGUAAACAUGUUUGCUAAAGGGCGUUAGGUAGUUCAAAGGUAGAAAUAUAAGUAGAGAAAAUCAGCUACUGAUUUUUUAAUAAGUAAGUCUUAGUUCAAGGUAUCUGUGGGUAGCCAAAAACAUGUGAGAUGUUUGCUUUUACUGCAGGAUAUUAAACGUUUUAACACUGAGGCUUUGGGGCUCAGAGCUGGUGUAUAUAACACGACCUUCUGAGAGAGAAAUCGACAAUUACAGCAAGGAGAAUCUUGGAUCAGAUAACAGUGGCAGCAAGAAAUAAGCAAUGGACAGUGGUCCCUGGGCUCGGGAGAGAGGAAGAUGAGGAGAAAAGGAAGAGGUAGCAGGGGCAGAGAGGAGGAGUCAUCAGUGAGGAAAUGCAACUGCAGAAAGAUGCGUACGUUAUUCUCUCCGAGCAGAGCACAUGGUGAAAAGAUAGCAGUCCAAGAAAGAUUAUCGACACUAGAAAGAAAGCGGUUAAUGCUACUGCCCUGACAAAUGAGCUGAGCUUGAAGAUCUGGCUGGUACGGCCACCAGUGUGUCUUAUUGUUUGUUGUAUUUGUUGCCUGGAGCAUGUGUUGUACAAAAGAAUCCUGUCUUUUAGGCUUAAAAUAGAAUAUUUGAUGAAAGCAGGUGGGUUUUACAUAAACCCCCCCUGGUCUGCUCUAGUAAAUAAGUUCAACCUGAAGUUAUCCUUGCGCUAGUCAUUAUAAACCCUAUUGCUGUUUUAUGUCUCAUUCUCCGAACGAGAAGGGGAAGAAGUAAUACAAAAAGAAUGUGUCAGAUUUCUUACAAGAUAACGGAGGAGUUCUUUUCAGGCUCGCAGUUAGAAAUUAUGAAGCCAUCUGCUAUUAUAAAAUCAUCCUAAGUACUCUAUUAUUGUAGUACUUGGCAGUCCAGGUCAAGACAGCAGUAUUCCAUUGGUGCUGCCUAUCUCUGGGUUUGUAAAAGGGUUAUCAUGCGGAUGGCUUUCUAGUAUUAUUAAGGAGUUGCUCCAGUCCUUGCUAUGAAGAAAAGCACUUUUCUCCCUAAUGUUGUAUUGCUGCCAUGUAGUACCUUUGUUGCUGUCCCCAGCAUCUCUCUGUCAACUUAUGUUAAAAUCAGGGAUUUUGUUAAAUAAAACUUGAUCUUUUUUAGAGGAUUUAGACGUA
This 1309-nucleotide long non-coding RNA is filed under the name Struthio camelus australis. RNAcentral's name for it is "lncRNA (ENSSCUG00000008107.1)". Lineage: Eukaryota; Metazoa; Chordata; Aves; Struthioniformes; Struthionidae. The record is from RNAcentral.